CCUCACUUACCAUGUGGCCCAGGUGUUUCGCCCCAGCCGCAGCCGCAGCACACAACGCACUCAUCAACCAGAGCAGCCACUCGAGUCGGCUCGAUCCCCAAUCCCCUCUCCUCUUUUUCUCUUCCCCACGCCGCCUCUCCCCCUCCGCAUCCGGCGCGGCGACCGGCAGAGGAGCCGGAGGAGGCGGCGGUUGCUCGGCCCCCUGCCCGCGGAGACGUAGACGACAACGGCGCCGAGGACGACGGUGACAGUGAGUCAGUGACAAGGCGGUGAGGCGUGGUGCGGGCCGACGAUGGCAUCGACCCCGCCGCCGCGAGAUCUCACGCGCCUCGACCCCGCCGCCCCGCCCACGCGAGAUCUCGCCGGUCUCGCCCUCGCCGCCGAAAGAUCUCGCCGGCCCCGCCCUCGCCACGGCUCUCACGCGGCCACGCCGUCAGGCCAGUCGCCUGACCGGCGCAGUUCAUCGUCAUCCGCCUGUAAAGAUUUCCUCCGCAAGUUUGUGGACAGCGAGCUUCUCACUGCAAGCCUAGAGGAUUGGUUUUCUGGGGACAGCGAGGACUGCGGUUUCCGGAAGCCGGCUUUCGAUGUUCCUUUUGACCUUGCGGAGCUGCAGAAUUUUGACUAUGCUUUGGAAGGUGUUACUUUUCAGCAGCUAGUGCGGAUGCCCAACGCUCUUCAUGCAUCCACAUCGGAUGUUUUUGAAGCUACCGCGCAUCUUGCCCUGGAGGAUUUUCUGCACGCUGGCAUCAAGGGGCUGUGGGAAGCUUUCUGGGGUCCUGAGGAAGCUAUGCCUUUCUCUGUUGCUUGCAUACACAGCACGAGCUCCAGAUUUUACCCUGCCGAGAAGGCUAUUGGCAGCGGAAAACUCGAUGGUGUCUGUGCGACAGCUGUGCUGCUCAAGAAUUCAAAGCAUUCACAAGGGAGGUGGGAUCAUAUUGUUGUGUUGGCUUUGUUGAGACCUGAUAUUGGAAUGGUUUCUGCGCAGAGUGACCAGCAUCUGUCCCCUGCUGUCCUGGGGGAGGCGCUAUUCUUUGCACUUCGUGUAUUGCUUUCUCGGAGCCUCAGCAGGUCCUCCACUGUCCUUCGAAAUUCAGAUUCUGUUUAUGUGCUCCUCGUAGAUUCACAGUUUGGAGGGGUGGUCAAUGUCCAAGGCGAUCUGAACAAGCUAAAUUUUGAUUUGAACAAUGUUUAUGAGUGUGCUGCUGAAUGGAUAAAAAAGGAUGCCAAAAUUACAGUUUCUUCCGUUGACCGGGUAUGGAAUAAACUUGGGAAUGCUAACUGGGGAGACAUUGGGACCCUUCAAGUUCUCCUUGCAGUUUACCACUCAAUGGUCCAAUUCUGCGGAGCACCAAAGUAUUCUCUCGAUGAACUGGCCACGGAGCAUAGUUCCCGGUUACAGAGUCGAAGAUCGGAGAGACACUUGGUCGACAGACAAUCCAAUGGAAACGGUCUGUUUCGGUUCCAGCAGCGAAGUCAUUCUCCUGAAAUUGUUGAAGUGCAGGAGGAAGGCACUGUAGAUGUAAAACCAGAUGAAAUCUUGAAGCUUGAGAUUGGGUCCAUUGUCUUCAUGGAAGAUUCUAACUGCCAGAAGGGUUUUCAAAUCAAUGAUAUUCGAACAGAAAGUGAGCCUCCUAUUUAUGGUGCUGUUCCUGUGGAAGAGCCUACCAAAUCCUAUUUGCUGUAUGUAGGUUCCAGUCCUUCUCAUCUGGAGCCAGCAUGGGAGGAUAUGAAUUCCUGGUACCAAGUUCAAAGACAGACGAAAGUACUGACCUUGAUGAAGCAAAGGGACAUUUCUAGCAGAUACAUACCACAGAUGGUAGCUUCUGGACGUGUAGGCCAUCCAGGCCUGUGCAACAAGCCGAACUCCAGUGGGAGUUGUGGUCAUCCACUGUGCAGCACUCCAAUCCUUGUCACCUCACCAGUUGGGGAGACCAUUUCAAAUCUGAUACGGAAUGGAUUGUUUGGUGUUGAGGAGGCUCUGAGAUGUUGCCAUGACUGUUUAUCUGCUCUUGCUGCUGCAUCAUCUGCGGGAAUCCGUCACGGUGAUAUCCGGCCAGAAAAUGUGAUCCGUGUCAGCAAUGGUUCAAGGCAACCACAUUUUGUACUUAUUGGAUGGGGUCAUGCUAUCCUAGAAGAUAGGGAUCGACCUUUGAUGAAUCUAUUCUUUUCAUCUACUUUUGCUCUUCAGGAAGGGAAGCUAUGUGCCGCAUCUGAUGCUGAAAGUUUAAUAUACCUUUUAUAUUUCUCGUGUGGUGGAGUCUGCCCAGAGCUUGACUCGGUUGAAGGUGCACUUCAAUGGAGAGAGGCAUCAUGGUCAAGGAGAGUUAUACAACAGAAGCUGGGUGAUGUUGCAGCAGUUUUGAAAGCAUUUGCAGAUUAUGUUGACAGCCUUUGUGGGACCCCGUACCCAAUGGACUAUGAAAUAUGGUUACGAAGGUUCCGAAGAACAAUAAAUGAAGAUCAUGGGAAGGAGGUUGACACAUCAAGUUAGUACUGCAGCACAUGCUCUUACAAAAUUGCAACAUGGAAGAUGAAAGAACAGUGUUUCAUACCUUGUAUUGUUGUUGUAGAUAAUUUAUCUGUAGAGUUGUAGGUCUUGUGAAAGGUCCAUAUAGCUCAUAGUACCCUUGUCGGCCUUGAUCCAUUUCACCUGAUGGGUACUUGAAAACGUCCAAUCUGGCGACCUGCUGCCGAUCUCAACUUGGAUUUCUGACUGUAUUACCCUCCCAAGAAUGCAGUAGAGAUCCUCGAGGAUAUCUGCAACAGGAUGUGUUCUGGAAAUGCUCUUCUCCAAGGUGGUGAGCUGCGCUUUGGCUGAUCUCCUCGGUCAUCUUGAUCAGUGCCUUGAAAUGUUGAAUUAUAAGUGGUAGGCAAAUGUGGAUCUCAAAGUGUGUGGUAUAGUCGGCAAAUUUUUGCUCACUUUUCUUUUUAAAAUUGCACCAGAAUGGAUUUGUGAAUUGUGAUUAGAGGUGGUGAGGCAUAGUUAGCAGCAUUUUGUUCUGACUAAAUUAUUCUUUUGGUGAGAGGGUGCAGUGGUCAGGUGCACCUAAGUUCUUGUAAAUGCUGGUCAUGGUUCAGCUGUUCAAAUUCCUGUCCUGCAAUUGCUGGGUGUUGAUUUGUGCGUUAACUCUGACUUGGCCCGUGCGUGGAG
Molecule: ribosomal RNA, 3151 nt
Filed under: Triticum aestivum (bread wheat)
Lineage: Eukaryota; Viridiplantae; Streptophyta; Magnoliopsida; Poales; Poaceae
Description: partial small subunit ribosomal RNA
Source: RNAcentral